CCACUAACAACUAGAAAUACUACUGUAUCUCCAACUUUGAUAAGAAUGAGUGAUACUCAAUAUAAGUCUAUAAUAACAAAAGAAUACUCAAGAUACUAAAAGAAUGACUAUGGAGCGACUCUAAGAGUUCAAAGAAAAGACCAUAACAAUAAAUAAAAUCUCCGCCCACGCGAACAAGUGCGAGGCUCAUCAAGAACUAUCAACCCGUGCGCUCUAAUUAACGAAAUCCUCGCCCGCGUCAACUGCUGUCUCUGUAAAAAAAAAUUAGCGGGGAAUGAGUCGCUAUCUCAGUGAGUAAUAACACUUAAACCACAACCGUUUUUAUUGGCGACAAGUCAGAAAACAUGCUAGUAUAUAUUUUAAACAGAAAAUAUCAUAAGAAUGCACUUUCAGAAACAAUAAAUAAUAAUCAGUAUCAUUAUGUUUUUCAUGUAAUAUAAAUCAAUUGACAAUUCGGUAAUAAGCUCGGUAAAUACUGUGUAAUAUCAAUAUUCAUGUUUGGGAGGUUUCAAUAAAUGGAUCAUGUAAUCGGUAUAACUGUGGACUUCUUCGCAAGAAGUCAAAUAUAAUGGUAGUCCCUAUUCGAUGGAAAAUCGGUAACGGUAUGCUAGUUCUACCUACUCGAGGGAAAUCAGGUCUAACGAACCCGCCGUUAGCUACGGGAUCCUUCAAAGUCUACUUCCAUUUAUACUUGUCUUUGUAAAUCCGUAUAUACUCAUAAGAAAAUAUUUUAAAACAAUAUAGAAAAUUUCGGUUCUUAUCAAAUCAUGUAAUUUUAUUUCGAUAACCGUAAAUUCAAGUAACGGUAAAACAUAUUUAGUGACAACACGAAUAUUUAAAAUAACGGUAAUCAUCUCAAAUAACUAUUUCGGUAUCAUAUCGAGUAAAAGACUUGUCCCACAUGCAACUCAAAAUAAUCGGUAACAUAUUCAUAUUAAAAAUCAAGUGUAAAUCAUGCAAGUUAUGAAAACACAAAUUGCGGUAAGAUUACUACUCACAGUACUCGUGCCGAAAUACCAAAUCCUUUACCUCGAGCAAUUCGUACAAAUUCCUCCAAUUAAUCUAUAAUUACAUAAUAUCGAUCUCGUGUUAAUUUCCUUGUUUAGGCUUAUUCAUAGCUAAUUUAGAAUACCCAACCCUCGAGGUUUCAUAAUUGACUCUUAAUUCGCCGAAUUAUACUUACCCACAUAUGAGUAAUUACUAAUCUAUCAACUCCAACCUAUUCAUAUAAUUUAUUAAUCCAAUUUCAUAAAGUUCUAUCGAUUCUUUAGGAAGAAAAUUCUCAAUUGUGUGAAUGACUAGUGUAAUUUCUAUUACUUUGUAGAAUCUUCCAAUCAUGAGAAUCGAAAUUAAAAUCUAGCAGAAGAAGAAGAAACUCAAGUAAUACCCGUAAGACACAAUCAGUGCUUAAGAUUCCUCAACAAUUAUACCUAUUGUUCCAACGCACUGCAUCAUCAGCUAGUUCCUCCUUCUUUUCUCUUUUCUUUCUUUCCUUCUCUGUUCGUUUUUUGUUUUUUCGUUUCUCUGAAGCUUUUGCUUCGUUCCCCUUCCCCCAACCCUUUUC
RNAcentral lists this long non-coding RNA (1564 nucleotides) under Nicotiana tabacum (common tobacco). RNAcentral describes it as "long non-coding RNA (NTAB_LNC009287)". Lineage: Eukaryota; Viridiplantae; Streptophyta; Magnoliopsida; Solanales; Solanaceae. The record is from RNAcentral.